This 256-nucleotide ribosomal RNA is filed under the name uncultured prokaryote. Its description in RNAcentral is "partial 16S ribosomal RNA". It matches the Rfam family "Bacterial small subunit ribosomal RNA", at positions 524 to 780 of the family's 1533-position model. The record is from RNAcentral.
UACGUAGGGGCGAGCGUUAUCCGGAUUUAUUGGGUUUAAAGGGUGCGUAGGCGGCUUAGUAAGUCAGCGGUGAAAUUUUGCAGCUUAACUGUAACAGUGCCGUUGAUACUGCCAGGCUAGGAUUUGGUUGCUGUGGGUGGAAUGUGUGGUGUAGCGGUGAAAUGCUUAGAUAUCACACAGAAUAUCAAUUGCGAAGGCAGCUCACAAAGCCAAGAUUGACGCUGAGGCACGAAAGUGUGGGGAUCAAACAGGAUUA